RNAcentral lists this long non-coding RNA (347 nucleotides) under Physcomitrium patens. RNAcentral's name for it is "long non-coding RNA (PPAT_LNC011906)". The record is from RNAcentral. Lineage: Eukaryota; Viridiplantae; Streptophyta; Bryopsida; Funariales; Funariaceae.
UCUAACGAUCGGACUAUUUAAAUAAACCAAAAUUUUAUAUAAAGUAUUAAUUAACUUUUAACAACUAAGACAACAAAUUUUAAUUGCAAAUUCGUUACAAGUCGAGAUAUCUCUAAAAUCCUAAAAAUAGCUCCAAAUCCUUACUUACAUACACCCAUGUGCAAUUUUCUUCAUAUCUUACAAACUAAACCUUCAAAUACCAUAAAAUUUUGAUAUAUAGCUUUUUAACCUAAUAACACACACUUUUGGAAAUUUUGAGCCAAAAAUUCAUCUAAAAACUCAAGAUAUGGCUCCAACCAUUACUAUCAACAAAACGACUCACUUAUUGCCUUUGAAUUACAUGUUCU